UACGUAGGGGGCUAGCGUUGUCCGGAAUCAUUGGGCGUAAAGCGCGUGUAGGCGGCCCGGUAAGUCCGCUGUGAAAGUCGGGGGCUCAACCCUCGAAUGCCGGUGGAUACUGUCGGGCUAGAGUGCGGGAGAGGCGAGUGGAAUUCCUGGUGUAGCGGUGAAAUGCGCAGAUAUCAGGAGGAACACCGAUUGCGAAGGCAGCUCGCUGGAACGUAACUGACGCUGAGACGCGAAAGCGUGGGGAGCAAACAGG
RNAcentral lists this ribosomal RNA (253 nucleotides) under uncultured bacterium. Its description in RNAcentral is "partial 16S ribosomal RNA". It matches the Rfam family "Bacterial small subunit ribosomal RNA", at positions 524 to 776 of the family's 1533-position model. The record is from RNAcentral.